This 668-nucleotide long non-coding RNA is filed under the name Cricetulus griseus (Chinese hamster). Its description in RNAcentral is "lncRNA (ENSCGRG00000025095.1)". Lineage: Eukaryota; Metazoa; Chordata; Mammalia; Rodentia; Cricetidae. The record is from RNAcentral.
CCUCCUGUGAGGCCCUGCCAGGCAGUGGAGGGGACCCAGUAGGCAAGAACAAUUUCCAAGGGGAGUGUGGGUGGUUCCAGGUUUCACUUGGGCUCCACACAGGUAAAUCAGUGUUGGUCAAAUGAAUUUGGAGAAGCAAGGAGAAGUAACUGCCGGUGGCCCCAGGGUUUUGAACUAUUAGCCAGAGACAGAGUCUGCUAGACCCUACUCCAGUGAGGCAUGCUCUGAAGAUAGGCACAAGGCAUAUGCAUGCCUAUCUAGGAUUGCUCAAAAAUGAUGACUCAGCAAACAAAGACAGCAGUGUGAGUAAAUUGCUUGCUGUUCCACACACUGAAGUAGAAGGCAGAGGCUGAGUUGGGGAGUCUGAGAGCUGCCCAGUGACUUCAAUAGUGGCCAUCGCAGGAAUAGAAGACCAGAGUUUUCCCGGAGUGCAAAGUCCAACCCAGAAAGCAGCAGGAGCAAGGGGUUAGUUCCAGGAGCCCUCCCUGGGAUUUGGCUGACUGAGGGAGUCCAUACCAGAAGGAAGCUUUGUUUGUGUCAGCAUCUGUCUCAACAGUGUCCCCAGGCCUCACAGCUGGCCUGGCUAGGUAGCUCAUGGUCACAGAAGCUGCAGGGGUCUGGAUUUAGUGAUGGAGGACACAGGAUUGAGGAGGCAACCUGCGCUCAGG